CUGGCUGGGGCCGUUGGAGCUGCAGACAGCUGCCGGGAGCGCUGAGGGAGGCCAAGCCUGCACCCAGGGUGGGUCGACUGAAACAAAGGGGACCAGAAGGUGGGCGCCCAGGAGCAGGUGCCGUGGGGACACCGGCCCACCAGCGCCCUGGAUCCUGAGGGGCGAGGAAUCCAGCCCGGAGCCCGCAGCCGCGCGAGGCCGAGGCCCGGGCUGAUGAGCGAGAGCCGGGGCGCCCCAGGGUCCCCUCCUGCCUCGGGCCGCCCGCGCGGCAAGGAGUGUGUCUGGGUGCAGGAGGAGGCCGAGCCCGCUGGACUGUCCUCGGGAGAGUCCGGCCCACAGGGGGCUCGGCUCGCCCCCAAGUCCGGGGCCGCGUCUGCUCAGAGGCCGGAGGCGCCCGCCGCCUCGCCGCGGCAGCCGCGGGACAAGCGCGGGCUCCUGGACUGGACACAGUUUCCCGCCUCCCUGUGGCUGUUUCCCGACCUGUUGGAGCACAGGCUCCAGUUUUAGAGGCUGUGGAGGACUGGGGCAGGGCACGGCUCCGACUUCAGGGUCUGACAGCUGUGCUUUCUCCAAACACUCAUCCAGGGAGCUGGGGGCCAGGUGGCCUUUGUCGGUUCUCCUCUUUCCUCCUGAAGUCAGGGCCUGGACCGGCUGCCCUGCUCAACCUCAGGAACCUCCUUUUUACUUUUAUUUUAUGAUUAGUUGCCUUUGGUCUCCUCAUUCCUCCAUGGGGUGCACUGAGGCCCCUGCAUUUGCUCACGCCUUCCUGUAUCCAUACUCUUGGGGAACCCUCCCACCCUGAGCCUGGGCUUGGACUGGUGACUUCUUUUGGCCGAUGGGACAUAGGAAAGGCGAUGCAAAAGGAAACUCGAAAAUUUCUUGCUGCUCCUGGAAACCUGCCUCCAUAUAAGCAAACCCUGGCUAUUCUGACAGACGACAUGGCCCAGCACCCCCAAAGACUGAGCUGAGAUCCCAGCUGAGAGAGAGGCCAUCUGGGAUCCUCCAGCCCAUCUCCCAGCGCACCUGCCACUUGGCCCCAGACAAGAAAAAAAAAAGUGGCAUAGAUAUCCCUGCCCUUGGAUGCCUUUUGACUUGUCUUCUCUCCAAAUCACAGAAUUGCUGCUGGCAGAGGGGACCUUAAUGCCACCUAGACCCACUCCCAUUGCACGGGAAUGCUUUCAGAGGAGUCAAGCCUUGCAGCCUCUUCCUUGACAUUCAAACCAGAGCAGAGCCUGACAGGAAUCACUCACAUCUGGUCCACAUGGCAUCAGCUGAGAUGGCUCCAAUCAAGACUGGACAAUCCACUUUCAAUACAGAUCACCCACAUGGCUGGCAGGUUACUGCUGGCUGCUGGCUGGCUGCUCAGCUGGUCUGGGGCCUGGGCGUGAGGGGCCUUGCUUCCUCUCCGGUGGGCUUCUCCUCAGCUGCUUGGGUUUCCUCACUGGAGGAUGGCUGAGGUCCCAGAGCAAAUGUCCCAAGAGAUCCAGACAAAAGGGGGUGGUGCUUUUAUGCUCUAUCCUUGGAAUCACAUAGCAUACAAUUCCAUUGCACCUUGUUAGUUGAGGGGGUCACAAAGUUCCACCCAGGUUAAAAGGAAGGGGACAUAGAUUGCACCCAUGGGGUAGUGGCACGGUCAUGUUGUAAGAUGAGCAUGUGGGAUGAGAGAGGUUCUUAUAUUCUAAAGUCAGUAUUUACCUCUUUCAUUAACAAAGACCUUGAAACACAUUGUCUUCCACAUGUCCCCUAUGCUCUUUGUAUAUAUUUAGUUGAAUGCUUUUAUUUUGCUUGGUUUUACCCCAUAAAUUAGACAUUUUGAUUUCUAUAAUGUUUGAACCAACGAAUACAUCUCUAAAGAAUAUAGCUUACUUUUGCUUGUUUUUGAACUUUUUACAAAUGGAAUCACAUGUUAGGAAUGAUUUUUGUUCACGCCUCUUUUGCUCAAAGUGUAAGUGUCUAAGACUUAUGCAUGUCACUGCAUGUAGCUGUGCCUUGUUCGUUUUCAUUGUUGCCUGGCUCUCUGUGCUAUAACAGAUGACAGUUUACCAGCUGCGCUGUAGAUGGACUCUGGGCCAUUUCCAGGUUUGUUGAUUAGAAUUCACAUAUCCUAGUGCAAAUGUGCAUGAGUUUCUUUGAUGUGUACCCCCAAGAGGGAUAUUGCAGAUGCUUCUAUUACUACAUAAUACCAAACUGUACCAAUUUCUACUCCCACUGGCUAGUAUGAGAAUUCCUGUUCCAAAGCCCUGUUGCUAUAAUCUGAUUUUGCCAGAUUUUUUUCUUGUUUAUGGUAAGUUUGUAAUGGAAAACACUACCUUUAAUCUUACCUUAAUCUCUGCUGACUGCAUGCUAUCUUCCCAAAGAACCAGUGUUAUCUCCUCCUGAUGCAUAGCUCAUAGCUGCCUGACUUGGUUGUACAGAAGUGUUCUGCUGAGGAUAUGGCAGAGCAGAGAGAGAACAUGCCUGUAUUAGCAAAACUCUGCAUCCUUCCAUUUCUGCUUGCAGGCUGGCUAGAUUUAGCUAGAGUUCCUGUCUCUUAUAGGACUUAGAGCAGUCAAAAAAAAAUUGUCUACAUAAGCCAUCAUUCUGGAUCUUUCCUACCAUUUCCUUAAUGCCACAGAUUUUGUCAAAUUGUGGUCUACCCUCCAAAGUAAUGCAAGCCUCGAAACCUAACCGAAGAUUUUACCACCAUGUAAUGUGAGGCGCCAGCUUUUCAACCUGGGCCCAGCUGAAAUUCAGGGGAUCUAUUACUAUGGAAAAAGGGAAGAUGGACAUCGGUGGACCACUAACAAUCUUGGCCACAGCUUCCUUCUGGCAUCACUUUUUUUGUCCUUGUUAACUUGUUUUCUGGAAAAGUCUUUAUAUUGUCCUAAUUCUUGGAUAGCAGAGCUGGGUUGACUAUUCUUUUUUCUCAUUCUACUGUCUUCUAGCUGUCACUGUUAAUGGGGAACAGUUGGGUGUCCUUCUUUUUCUCCUAGCUCCUUUCAAGAACACUUUUGUAUUUGGCAUUUCCAUGAUUCCUCAACAAUGUAACCAAGAAGUAAGUUAUUAUAAAUUGGUCCUACUUGGUACACAUUGGGAUUCCUGAAUUUGUAGAUUGAUGAGAAUUUCAGAAAAUUCUCAGCCUUUUCUCUUUCAUGCUGACUUUCCCCAUUUUCUCUCUUCUCUCUCUUUGGAACUCCAACUGGAUGUUUGACUUUCUCAUUUUACCCUCUGUAUAUCUUAAUUUCUCUUUCCUCUUGUUUAUUCCUCUGUCUCUAUUCUCCUUGUAAUUUCUUCAUAUAUUUUUCUAGUUCACCAAACUCCUCUCCAAUACUAUCUUAUUGUUUAAUCUUCCCAUUGUAUUUUAAAUUGUGAUAUUUUUCAUUUCUAAAUUGCGAAAAGUAUUAAUAAUUAGACAUUGUGUUUUAAAAAACAAUUUAAUUAACAGAAUUAUAUCUAUGUGAAAUGAUAUACACUAAUAUAAUAAGAAUCCUCUAUAAGGGAUUUUAAAACAAACAUCAAAUCCACCCAUUCAUUCCUUCAGGCUUGAAAGCCUGUGAGGGCCCUGUGCAGUCCUGUGUACGGCCAUAAUGGUCUGGAAGAGUAUCUUCCCAUGAGGAAGGUGGUAACUUUCUCUUGCAAAUCAUAAAUGGAAGACACCCUUGGGUUGGGAUAGGGUAUCGGAUAGAAGGAAAUGCAGAGGUUAGUGGCUAUGGAGGUGGUGGUGGGCUUUCCAGUGGGGACAUGAUGAUGGACACUUCUCGCAACAUUGGGUGCUCUUUACACCAGUGCGAACUGAGGGGGGGCACUCCUUGGACCAUUGUCUUUCAGUGAGGGGACAGCAGGGGACAGAACUGGGUUAGAUGUCUGUGCAGUUAGAGCUUUUACUCUUGUUCCUCAUUUCCAGAAAUAUCUAAAGGAGAAAAGAGGAAAAACUUAGGUGUGUUUUCCAUGGAUUGAGUGGUAGAGGUCUACACCUUUCACACAGCAUGGGCUCCAAGAGACUCCGUGGCUUCUGGUAAAGGCUUCCAGGUCCCCAUGAGGGUAGAACCUCUCUUUGCUCCACUUGAUGAGGCUGGGCUGAGACUCCUCCUUUCAGAGGCAUUUCUUUGCUCUCUUUUGAUUCUCUCCAAUGAUUCUCUCCAUCUGUCUCUCUUUUCUAUAGCCUAAUGCCUGUGAUUCUUGCUUUAGACCUUUUUUGGGUUCCCAUAAUCCUUACUUCUGUUCCUAUAGAAAAUGGUUUACUUGUUAACUUCUUAGUUACCUGGCUUCCCAUUCAAAAUGUAACUACCCUAAGGUUACAAGCUUGGUCUUCAUUCACUGCUGUAUCCCCAGUGCUUAGAAUAAUGUAUGGUCCAGAGUAAGUGCUUUAUAAAUAUUUUCUGACUGUUGAAUUCUUAUUUUACUUGAGAUACUUUGCAAAGGUAGAAUUGGGUAAUUUUUGGAUCAUUCCUAAGUAAAUCCCACUGAAAUGAGCAUGUGCAGAAGUGCAGCAGGUUCUGCUCUACUAAAUGAGUACAAUGUUUGGCAAGGAUGUUCGGAGCAGGCUUUUCAUGGAUGGAAUUCAGUAAUCUCAUCUCUGCCUUGCACAAAAGGUCUGGACUGCUCGGGAAGGGUCAGAAACCCCAUGGCAAUAGUGACAUUUACCAGUGGAUAUCUGUGUUAUCUAGAAUAUGGGUUGAGCUGUUCCAACAGGAUUCCUAAGAGUAGUUUCUUAAAAGGGUACAAUUUAAAAUAUCUUGAGUAUCUAGGCAUAAACUUACUAAAAGAUUAUGAUCUUUAUAAAAGAUUGCAACAUUUUAUUGAGGGAGGGACAUAAACAUGAGAAACUGACAAGAUAUAUAGAUCGUUCAUGGAUUGAAAACUUAAUAUUGUAAAUCAGUCAAUAUUGCUUUAAAUUAUAGAAACAAUGCAAUCCCAACUGGCUUUAUGCUGGAUCUGUACUAGCUGGUUAAAAAAUGUAUAUGACAACUCAGAAGGAUCAAUAAUAGCCAAGACUCUCUUGGAGAAAAGAAGGAAGGCAAGAGGAUUGCCCUUACCUGUUGCCGCAGUAGAUUAUUGAAUUCUAGUAAAGAGGAAGGACAGUGUGGCAUUGGCCCAGGGACAGAGUCAUAGAGUGGGGGAGAAUAGAGGCCAGAAUAAGACCCUGCAUGGAUGGACCCUGGGUUUUUGAGAGGCAACAGUUCUGUGCAGUGAAGAAAGGACAGUGUUUUCAAUAGAAAAUGCUAAGGUUUAUGGCUGUGUUUUCACAGGAUUUUAUAUAUGAUAGUGAAACCAUCUGAUGUUAUCUGGUGAAGUCAGUGGGGAAAUUCCUGUGCAUCACGAUCUCACAAAAAUGUUCAAAGUAGCUCUGUUGAUAACGGCCAGAAUGUGGAAACAACUCAAAUGGCCACUGCAGUACCCUGAUGUCACGGCCGACUCUACAGGAGCAUGGCGACCAAGGAUGAAAAGCACAAAAACAACACUGAAGGAAAGAAGCAAGUCACACAGGAAGAUAUGCUAUGAUCCACUUAUAGGAAGCUCAAAAACAAACAGGAAAACCAAACAAUUCUUGAUUGAAAAGGGCAUAAUUAGGAUGUAUUAGGAAAAUGCGUGCUUGUUGUCCAGAGUCCUGCGGAAGAAGCCCCUGAGGUACUUAAGAAACAGAAGAAACGGAGUACUCUACAAAGUUCUGUAUGGGAUUUUCUCUAAGCUUAGGAGACAAAGCCCCAAGAAGUGCAUCAGGAGUUCAGAGCUGUGAUAGGAACAUGUAAAAUCUUAAGCUAGAGGGUAGAUCUCAGGUUAAGUGUUCUUUCCACAAUAAAGAAAAACAAAAC
Molecule: long non-coding RNA, 5792 nt
Organism: Equus caballus (horse)
Lineage: Eukaryota; Metazoa; Chordata; Mammalia; Perissodactyla; Equidae
Source: Ensembl